RNAcentral lists this ribosomal RNA (164 nucleotides) under uncultured bacterium. RNAcentral's name for it is "partial 16S rRNA". It matches the Rfam family "Bacterial small subunit ribosomal RNA", at positions 355 to 511 of the family's 1533-position model. The record is from RNAcentral.
UAGGGAAUCUUCCACAAUGGACGCAAGUCUGAUGGAGCAACGCCGCGUGAGUGAAGAAGGUCUUCGGAUCGUAAAGCUCUGUUGUUGGUGAAGAAGGAUAGAGGCAGUAACUGGUCUUUAUUUGACGGUAAUCAACCAGAAAGUCACGGCUAACUACGUGCCAG